UACGAAGGGGGCUAGCGUUGUUCGGAAUCACUGGGCGUAAAGGGUGCGCAGGCGGAUCAUUAAGUCAGGGGUGAAAUCCCGAGGCUCAACCUCGGAACGGCCUUUGAUACUGGUGAUCUUGAGUCCGGAAGAGGUGAGUGGAACUGCGAGUGUAGAGGUGAAAUUCGUAGAUAUUCGCAAGAACACCGGUGGCGAAGGCGGCUCACUGGUCCAGAACUGACGCUGAGGCACGACAGCGUGGGGAGCAAACAGG
RNAcentral lists this ribosomal RNA (253 nucleotides) under uncultured bacterium. RNAcentral describes it as "partial 16S ribosomal RNA". It matches the Rfam family "Bacterial small subunit ribosomal RNA", at positions 524 to 776 of the family's 1533-position model. The record is from RNAcentral.